CAGCAGCCGCGGUAAUGCGGAGGGUGCAAGCGUUAAUCGGAAUUACUGGGCGUAAAGCGCACGUAGGCGGCUUUGUAAGUUAGAGGUGAAAGCCCGGAGCUCAACUCCGGAAUUGCCUUUAAGACUGCAGAGCUAGCAGGUGAGAGAGGUGAGUAGAAUUCCACGUGUAGCAGUGAAAUGCGUAGAGAUGUGGAGGAAUACCGAUGGCGAAGGCAGCCCCCUGGGCCAAUACUGACGCUCAUGCACGAAAGCGUGGGGAGCAAACAGGAUUAGAGACCCCUGUAGUCCCUGUCUCUUAUAC
This 301-nucleotide ribosomal RNA is filed under the name uncultured bacterium. RNAcentral describes it as "partial 16S ribosomal RNA". It matches the Rfam family "Bacterial small subunit ribosomal RNA", at positions 509 to 807 of the family's 1533-position model. The record is from RNAcentral.